AGUGAACGCUGGCGGUAGGCCUAACACAUGCAAGUCGAACGGCAGCACAGUAAGAGCUUGCUCUUACGGGUGGCGAGUGGCGGACGGGUGAGGAAUACAUCGGAAUCUACUUUUUCGUGGGGGAUAACGUAGGGAAACUUACGCUAAUACCGCAUACGACCUACGGGUGAAAGCAGGGGAUCUUCGGACCUUGCGCGAUUGAAUGAGCCGAUGUCGGAUUAGCUAGUUGGCGGGGUAAAGGCCCACCAAGGCGACGAUCCGUAGCUGGUCUGAGAGGAUGAUCAGCCACACUGAAACUGAGACACGGUCCAGACUCCUACGGGAGGCAGCAGUGGGGAAUAUUGGAAAAGGGGGGCAAGCCUGAUCCAGCCAUACCGCGUGGGUGAAGAAGGCCUUCGGGUUGUAAAGCCCUUUUGUUGGGAAAGAAAAGCGGCAGGUUAAUACCCCGCUGUUCGGACGGUACCCAAAGAUUAGGCACCGGCAAACUUCGU
RNAcentral lists this ribosomal RNA (491 nucleotides) under uncultured bacterium. RNAcentral describes it as "partial 16S ribosomal RNA". It matches the Rfam family "Bacterial small subunit ribosomal RNA", at positions 29 to 506 of the family's 1533-position model. The record is from RNAcentral.